AAGUAGUAACCGAAUGGGUAAUAUUAUAAGUAGCGUUUCUCAGAAACAUAAUGGAACAAAGGAUACGACGAAUAGACUGAACGAAAAAUUAAAAUGUGUUUUAUUCAAUAAAAAUAGCAAUAAAAUGUUAAUUCGAAAUGUAAUUUUUUUAUUACUACAUUCAGAUAUAGGACUUACAAAAAGAGUAUUUAAAUAUUUAUAUGUUUAUGAUGAUAUUAAUAAAAUUCAUAUGAGUGGUUUAAUUGAUUUUACAAUUUAUAAAACAUAUUGUCAAACAAUAAUAGAUAUGCUAGAAGAUAAAUAUAAUGACAAUUAUAGUAAAGUAGCUGAAGUGUUAUAUAUAUUAUUAAAAAAUGAUGAUUAUAUGAUUAUAAACAAGUAUAUAAUGGAACGUAUAUUUUUACACUUACUAAAAUUUUGUUAUAGAAAUAGAAAAGAUAAUUCAAUUAAAUUUUUUUUACGUAAUUUAUUAAGUCACAAACUGAUUAGUUAUGAUAAUAUAAAAAAUAUAUUUUUAUUUACUUUUAUUUAUUUAAAAAAAAAUACUUAUUUAUUUAAACAUAAUAUUUAUAUAUAUAUACAAAAUUUUAUGAGUUUAAUUAACAUAUUCAUUUUUUUUAUUGAUUUUAUGAAAAAAAUAAAUAGAAAUAUUUAUAUAUAUUUUUUAUUUCUGUUUACUACUUCUCUUUUAAAAUUAGUUUCUUUUUUAAACAUAAAUUUGAUUAUCAUUAUUAUUAAUAAAUAUGGACAUAUUAAAAAUUUUAGUGGAAAGUAUUUUGUUCACCCUAAUAAUAUAGUAUCCAAUAGACAUAGUGCCAUUUACUACUUUUAUUUUUACAUUAUAUAUUACACCAAUUAUUGUUUAAAUAAGUGUUUUAAUAAUAUCAUGCAAGAUCCUUCACUGCAGCGUGUAUUUAAAUCGUCGGAGUGGAAGGUUAAGAGUAGUUCGGUUAGCUUGCGUGGGCAGUACGAGCAGUACGAGCAGAGUGGCCAGAGUGUCCAGAGUGGCCAGAGUGGCCAGAACGAGAAGUACGAGCAGAGUGUCCAGAGUGGCCAGAACGAGAAGUACGAGCAGAAAGACGAACACGAGCAAGAUAUACAAACCGUAGGGCACAACCUGCAUGAAAAUAAACGCAGUUAUAUGUAUAGCUACACAACUGAAAACAAAAAUAGUAACAAGUUAGUAGAAAAAAAAGAAAGCAACUCAGCUCGAGGGAAGCAAGAAGAGAGUAGUCUACCUUAUAUUUUAUUAAAAUAUAAAAUAAAGUUAAAAAACAAUUUAUUAGAUGCUAUUACUACUCAUAAAGAUGUAUAUUUAUUUACUCAUAAUAAUGAGCAUAUCAUACUUUUAUUUUAUAAUUACCAUAUGUUAGUUGA
RNAcentral lists this long non-coding RNA (1377 nucleotides) under Piliocolobus tephrosceles (Ugandan red Colobus). RNAcentral describes it as "lncRNA (ENSPTEG00000013538.1)". The record is from RNAcentral. Lineage: Eukaryota; Metazoa; Chordata; Mammalia; Primates; Cercopithecidae.